AAAGUACUCCCUCCGUCCCAAAAUUCUUGUCUUAGAUUUAUCUAGAUACGGAUGUAUCAAGUCACAUUUUAGUAUUAGAUACAUCCGUAUCUAGACAAAUCUAAGACAAGAAAUUUGGGAUAGAGGGAGUAGUUG
Triticum aestivum (bread wheat) is the source of this 135-nucleotide non-coding RNA. NCBI's taxonomy places the organism in Eukaryota, Viridiplantae, Streptophyta, Magnoliopsida, Poales, Poaceae. The record is from Rfam.